GCUGGUGUAGCUCAAUUGGUAGAGCAGCUGACUUGUAAUCAGCAGGUCGCGGGUUCGAGUCCCAUCACCAGCUCCA
This 76-nucleotide transfer RNA is filed under the name Clostridia bacterium BRH_c25. RNAcentral's name for it is "tRNA-Thr". It matches the Rfam family "tRNA". From Rfam's summary of the family: Transfer RNA (tRNA) molecules are approximately 80 nucleotides in length. The record is from RNAcentral. RNAcentral also lists the same sequence under 8 other names. Lineage: Bacteria; Bacillati; Bacillota; Clostridia.